GACGAACGCUGGCGGCGUGCCUAAUACAUGCAAGUAGAACGCUGAAGGAGGAGCUUGCUUCUCUGGAUGAGUUGCGAACGGGUGAGUAACGCGUAGGUAACCUGCCUGGUAGCGGGGGAUAACUGUUGGAAACGAUAGCUAAUACCGCAUAAGAGUAGAUGUCGCAUGACAUUUUCUUAAAAGGUGCAAUUGCAUCACUACCAGAUGGACCUGCGUUGUAUUAGCUGGGUGGUGAGGUAACGGCCCACCAAGGCAACGAUUCAGAGCCGACCUGAGAGGGUGAGCGGCCCCACCGGGACUGAGACCCGGCCCAGACUCCUACGGGAGGCAGCAGGAGGGAAACUUCGGAAAUGGACGGAAGUCUGACCGCGCAACGCCGCGGGAGUGAAGAAGGUUCUCGGAUCGUAAAGCUCUGUUGUAAUAGAAGAACGAGUGUGAGAGUGGAAAGUUCACACUGUGACGUUACCUUAACAGAAAGGGACGGCUAACUACGUG
RNAcentral lists this ribosomal RNA (495 nucleotides) under uncultured bacterium. RNAcentral describes it as "partial 16S ribosomal RNA". It matches the Rfam family "Bacterial small subunit ribosomal RNA", at positions 28 to 507 of the family's 1533-position model. The record is from RNAcentral.